UGUGUGUGAGUCUGUGUGUGUGAGUGUGUAUGUGUGUGUGAGUCUGUGGGUGUGGCUGAGCGGCCACUAUAAAGGCAGCCGCGCCCCAAGAUUCUCCAUCGCAUUCCACUCCUCCCCACCCAGCUCCACCAGCUCCUUCAGCUCCUCACCACCAGCUCCUCACCACCACCAGCUCACCAGCACCGCCGUCAAGAUGAUGGUCUCUAACCUCAUGAGUUACAUGUGUCGUGAUGAAGGGGACCUUGAGAUGGAGCUUCCCGUUGGCUUCCGCGGGAUUCUCUUCCGUGAUGACGGAUUCCAGGCAGACCGAGAGGCUGAAGCCAUCCAAGCGGCCAUCAAAACCAAGGGUGUGGACGAGGCGAAGAUUAUUGACGUUCUCACCAAGCGUGACAACGUCCAGCGGCGUCAGAUCGCUACCGCUUACCAGAUGGCCUACGGCAAGGUGCGGUUGACAUGGUUACACCACACCGGUU
This is a non-coding RNA of Petromyzon marinus (sea lamprey), 473 nucleotides long. The record is from RefSeq and is a predicted model, not a curated record. Lineage: Eukaryota; Metazoa; Chordata; Hyperoartia; Petromyzontiformes; Petromyzontidae.